This 305-nucleotide ribosomal RNA is filed under the name uncultured bacterium. RNAcentral describes it as "bacterial SSU rRNA". It matches the Rfam family "Bacterial small subunit ribosomal RNA", at positions 333 to 655 of the family's 1533-position model. The record is from RNAcentral.
UCAAGCCUACGGGACGCAGCAGUAAGGGAUAUUGGUCAAUGGGGGAAACCCUGAACCAGCAACGCCGCGUGGAGGAUGAAGGUUUUCGGAUUGUAAACUCCUUUUGUUAGAGAAGAUAAUGACGGUAUCUAACGAAUAAGCACCGGCUAACUCCGUGCCAGCAGCCGCGGUAAUACGGAGGGUGCAAGCGUUACUCGGAAUCACUGGGCGUAAAGAGCGCGUAGGCGGGAUAGCAAGUCAGAUGUGAAAUCCUAUGGCUUAACCAUAGAACUGCAUUUGAAACUGUUAUUCUAGAGUAUGGGAGG